GGGGGACCAUCCUCCAAGGCUAAAUACUCCUGACUGACCGAUAGUGAACCAGUACCGUGAGGGAAAGGCGAAAAGAACCCCGGCGAGGGGAGUGAAACAGAACCUGAAACCGUGUACGUACAAGCAGUGGGAGCACAGGUUUACCUGUGUGACUGCGUACCUUUUGUAUAAUGGGUCAGCGACUUAUAUUCUGUAGCAAGGUUAACCGAAUAGGGGAGCCGGAGGGAAACCGAGUCUUAAUUGGGCGUUAAGUUGCAGGGUAUAGACCCGAAACCCGGUGAUCUAGCCAUGGGCAGGUUGAAGGUUGGGUAACACUAACUGGAGGACCGAACCGACUAAUGUUGAAAAAUUAGCGGAUGACCUGUGGCUGGGGGUGAAAGGCCAAUCAAACCGGGAGAUAGCUGGUUCUCCCCGAAAGCUAUUUAGGUAGCGCCUCGUGAAUUCAUCUCCGGGGGUAGAGCACUGUUUCGGCUAGGGGGCCAUCCCGGCUUACCAACCCGAUGCAAACUGCGAAUACCGGAGAAUGUUAUCACGGGAGACACACGGCGGGUGCUAACGUCCGUCGUGAAGAGGGAAACAACCCAGACCGCCAGCUAAGGUCCCAAAGUCAUGGUUAAGUGGGAAACGAUGUGGGAAGGCCCAGACAGCCAGGAUGUUGGCUUAGAAGCAGCCAUCAUUUAAAGAAAGCGUAAUAGCUCACUGGUCGAGUCGGCCUGCGCGGAAGAUGUAACGGGGCUAAACCAUGCACCGAAG
This 753-nucleotide ribosomal RNA is filed under the name Salmonella enterica subsp. enterica serovar Paratyphi B var. L(+) tartrate +. RNAcentral's name for it is "partial 23S ribosomal RNA". It matches the Rfam family "Bacterial large subunit ribosomal RNA", at positions 447 to 1199 of the family's 2925-position model. Lineage: Bacteria; Pseudomonadati; Pseudomonadota; Gammaproteobacteria; Enterobacterales; Enterobacteriaceae. The record is from RNAcentral.